CUCUUCUCAGGGUCGCACCUGGAGAGUUCCCAGUGCUCUACCAGUCACUACUACAGGAGGGAGAGUCAAGCAGAGGCAUACUCAUUGCAUUUCUGGCUUGGGCAGUGGCUAGUGAGUGGAAGGCAAUCUGCUACAGUC
Molecule: small nucleolar RNA, 138 nt
Organism: Ornithorhynchus anatinus (platypus)
Lineage: Eukaryota; Metazoa; Chordata; Mammalia; Monotremata; Ornithorhynchidae
Source: RefSeq, a predicted model, not a curated record